CUAGCCUAGUUUAUAAAGACAAAGAGUUGUGGGCCUGUGGUGGUGCCAGACUUUUAUCUUCAUGUCAAAGCCUACCUGGGCUAGGUGAUGCCUCCAUCUGGCCAGCAAGAGACAGAGGCACUAGGGCAUUCACUGUUGGGCAGGAGUCCCAACCCAGGGUUGGCCUCCUUCCCUGCAGUCUGAGAAGCAAAACAGAGCUCAGUAAUACUUUCUAAAGAAUACCUGGUAUUCUGUAGAGUUUUAGAAUCUUAGAAACUCGGCCUGGAAUGGACUCUUGGCGCCAAACUCCAGUCCGUGACAGAUGCCUGCUUGAGUAUCCCUGAUGGAGUAGCAUCCCUUCUGUGCAUGCUUAUCCUCUCAAUCCCUGUGCAUCACUGGUCAGCUGACUUGCAUCCAUCAUAGACCAUUAGGACAAACUUUACAGGUGUUCUAUUUAUGAAGUCAUUCUAUACUUUCAAUAGUCAACUGAACUUGCAAUAAAGAUAGGCUGUUUUCUUAGCCUUGCUGGCGCUACCUGCAUGAAAUCGGUAACAAAGCCUGAAAACAGGGUAAACGUGGGAUAUUUUGAUUUUUGAUUUUUCCUAUGUGGUGGCAGAUUUUGCAGCCCAAGUUUUAUUUUGUUUUUGGAAUACAAAGUAACUUCAAAGAGUUGUGUUAGAG
Molecule: long non-coding RNA, 660 nt
Filed under: Bos taurus (domestic cattle)
Lineage: Eukaryota; Metazoa; Chordata; Mammalia; Artiodactyla; Bovidae
Description: long non-coding RNA NONBTAT000978
Source: RNAcentral